CCUACGGGAGGCAGCAGUAGGGAAUAUUGCUCAAUGGGGGAAACCCUGAAGCAGCAACGCCGCGUGGAGGAUGAAGGUUUUCGGAUUGUAAACUCCUUUUGUUAGAGAAGAUAAUGACGGUAUCUAACGAAUCAGCACCGGCUAACUCCGUGCCAGCAGCCGCGGUCAUACGGAGGGUGCCAGCGUUACUCGGAAUCACUGGGCGUAAAGAGCGCGUAGGCGGGAUAGCAAGUCAGAUGUGAAAUCCUAUGGCUUAACCAUAGAACUGCAUUUGAAACUGUUAUUCUAGAGUAUGGGAGAGGUAGGUGGAAUUCGUGGUGUAGGGGUAAAAUCCGUAGAGAUCAAGAGGAAUACUCAUUGCGAAGGCGACCUGCUAGAACAUAACUGACGCUGAUGCGCGAAAGCGUGGGGAGCAAACAGGAUUAGAUACCCGUGUAGUC
This 440-nucleotide ribosomal RNA is filed under the name uncultured bacterium. RNAcentral describes it as "partial 16S ribosomal RNA". It matches the Rfam family "Bacterial small subunit ribosomal RNA", at positions 338 to 795 of the family's 1533-position model. The record is from RNAcentral.